RNAcentral lists this unclassified non-coding RNA (1693 nucleotides) under Hevea brasiliensis (rubber tree). The record is from RNAcentral. Lineage: Eukaryota; Viridiplantae; Streptophyta; Magnoliopsida; Malpighiales; Euphorbiaceae.
UCCUUUCAAUGUAACCAAAAGGAAAACCUAAUCGUUUUGGUUACUGCUGCCGUCAGAAUAAGAAUAAUUGGCAUGUUAUAUAUCUUGAUAUCACCAUUGAAAAAGAAAAAAUAUUAAAUUGUUCUUUUUACUAAUCAUGGGAGAAGCUAGGAGAAAAUGGAGGGAAUAAAUGAAAGCAUGAGAAAAAGAAAUAAGAGAAAAAUUCGAACGCACUUUCUGAACAGAACAGAACUACCCAACAUCAUUCUUCUGAAACCAAUCAGAAGAAGUGGAUCAAAGAAUCAGAAGACAGACGGACAACACCCCAAAUUGUUUCACACUUGCACGGUGUAGGCUACAGAAAAUAACAAGAGCAACUUCUGAAAAAGAUUCAUUUUUGAUGCGUAGAUCCUUUCAAACUUCUCAUGACAACAACUAUUUUCACUUCUUAUCUCUUCUAUGAAAUUAGUCUUAGCUUCAAUCCAUAUCAAUGUGUUGUGUAAUUUUCUCAACUCGACGGAGGAUUUGAACAAUAUGAUUUGUUGUCAAGCCUCCAAAUUGGUGAUAUAUAUCUUAAGAAGGCAUAUCUUCUCUGCCUCUACCCGAAAAUGUGCUGCCAAAUGAGCUUUUCUUUGAUGAUGUAGUUUGCACAGGAAUGGUGCUACUCUUGGUAAUGGAUGUGGCUCUGGACUGACAGGAAUCAGAGGAAAAUAACCAGUUUGAGAGACUGGCAUCAACUGCAAUUUCUUGCAUCGGAGGUGUGGGUUUCCGUACUUGUUGCUCUAAUGCAAUAUUCUCUUUUCUCUGGCACUUCACUGGUGACAUUCCUUUGGCCUUCACUGCUUUCCACUGACUGAGAUUUUCUACUGGGUUCAGCACAGAAUGAACAUAUUGACUCCUAGAUCGAGCAUUUCGAUUCAUCCCAAUCGAUUUCAAUCCUCCCUCAUUCAAAUCUCCAAGGGGCUUCAGAUUUUCGGAUGUUUCCUCAGAAAACUCAGUUGAGGAUUCUCUCUUAUUUGAACUCGCCGAUAAAGACAUUAAUUUCUCAGAAAACUCUUCUUGGCUUAUUCCCAUAUCAUCAAUACCGCCACCACUUUCGUCAUCCUCGUCAAAAUCAUCAUCAUCAUCAUCCAAGUUACUUUCUUCAUACUCUUCAUCGUAGCUGUCAAUGCAGUUUCGAUAUCUAUAAUUCGAUGGAUAAGGUGCCAUUUUUGUCGCUAUCAAAUCCCCCUCGGCAAGAGACGGAGAUUGGUCUUCUUUUGUAGUUUCUUUGCUAAUCUCUUCUUUGUUUUCAUCUUCCUCAGUUUUCCACAAAUGGUCCGUACUUUCUUCAUUUGGAAUCGGCUCAUAACUCCGGACAUUCAAGUUAAAGCUAACUUUCUUUCUAAUUUUGCAGUUCAAUUGUUCCUUAUUCUUCUUCCUGAGCUCAGAGUUUAUGGGCUCCCCUGUUAUAUCAAGAACCGUAGAAGUUGAAUCCAGAGGUUCAUAGCUACCAAAUCCAUGGUCUCCAUGUUGAACUCUAUUGGCAGGCUUUCUGCGCUUUCCCUUGCAAGAAAGGCCAAAGCAGCCAAGAAAGCACCCCAUCAGAGUUCUCCAAGUUGGGAUGAAGAAUAUGUGGCUAGACGCUCUUCUUGUUCAUGGUGAGAUAGGCUAAAAUACUAAGGGGGGAGAGACAGAGAGAGAUCGUGUAAUGUAGAGAAUGGAAAUUGAAAAG